RNAcentral lists this ribosomal RNA (254 nucleotides) under uncultured bacterium. Its description in RNAcentral is "partial 16S ribosomal RNA". It matches the Rfam family "Bacterial small subunit ribosomal RNA", at positions 524 to 776 of the family's 1533-position model. The record is from RNAcentral.
UACGUAGGGUGCAAGCGUUGUCCGGAAUUAUUGGGCGUAAAGAGCUACGUAGGCGGUUUGUCGCGUCUGCUGUGAAAACUCGGGGCUUAACCCCGGGCCUGCAGUGGGUACGGGCAGACUAGAGUGCGGUAGGGGAGACUGGAAUUCCUGGUGUAGCGGUGAAAUGCGCAGAUAUCAGGAGGAACACCGGUGGCGAAGGCGGGUCUCUGGGCCGAUACUGACGCUGAGGAGCGAAAGCGUGGGGAGCGAACAGG